GCUUGUUUCAUGUGUGACAAAGAAGACCGCUCACUGCUGCCAGCGUAAAAGGGAUGGUGAACAGAAAGUUGAUGAAACAUUUGAAAAUGACAAGCCAAAUGGUGCUCAGGAGCAUGGAGUAAAUUAUGCUGCCUUGGAUUUUGGGAAAAGAAAAAACAAAAACAGAGAAAUGAAGAGAGAUUUGGGAAUGGAAACGACUUAUUCAAGCGUUCGAUUACAAUAGUCACAGAGUCAUCACAAUGAAAAGAGAGGAAGGUGCAGAGACCACAUAAUCAACGGUCUUCAUGUACAUAAUAAAGGAAGAUUGUACUGAAAUAAGCCUGACAUUUGUAAGAUUAUUAGAGGGCAUCGCACCCU
Molecule: long non-coding RNA, 357 nt
Organism: Polypterus senegalus (gray bichir)
Lineage: Eukaryota; Metazoa; Chordata; Cladistia; Polypteriformes; Polypteridae
Exons: 3
Source: RefSeq, a predicted model, not a curated record